Molecule: ribosomal RNA, 1177 nt
Filed under: Salmonella enterica subsp. enterica serovar Newport
Lineage: Bacteria; Pseudomonadati; Pseudomonadota; Gammaproteobacteria; Enterobacterales; Enterobacteriaceae
Description: partial 23S ribosomal RNA
Rfam family: Bacterial large subunit ribosomal RNA
Source: RNAcentral
AAUCCAUAGGUUAAUGAGGCGAACCGGGGGAACUGAAACAUCUAAGUACCCCGAGGAAAAGAAAUCAACCGAGAUUCCCCCAGUAGCGGCGAGCGAACGGGGAGGAGCCCAGAGCCUGAAUCAGCAUGUGUGUUAGUGGAAGCGUCUGGAAAGGCGCGCGAUACAGGGUGACAGCCCCGUACACAAAAGCGCAUGUGCUGUGAGCUCGAUGAGUAGGGCGGGACACGUGGUAUCCUGUCUGAAUAUGGGGGGACCAUCCUCCAAGGCUAAAUACUCCUGACUGACCGAUAGUGAACCAGUACCGUGAGGGAAAGGCGAAAAGAACCCCGGCGAGGGGAGUGAAAAAGAACCUGAAACCGUGUACGUACAAGCAGUGGGAGCACAGGUUUACCUGUGUGACUGCGUACCUUUUGUAUAAUGGGUCAGCGACUUAUAUUCUGUAGCAAGGUUAACCGAAUAGGGGAGCCGGAGGGAAACCGAGUCUUAAUUGGGCGUUAAGUUGCAGGGUAUAGACCCGAAACCCGGUGAUCUAGCCAUGGGCAGGUUGAAGGUUGGGUAACACUAACUGGAGGACCGAACCGACUAAUGUUGAAAAAUUAGCGGAUGACCUGUGGCUGGGGGUGAAAGGCCAAUCAAACCGGGAGAUAGCUGGUUCUCCCCGAAAGCUAUUUAGGUAGCGCCUCGUGAAUUCAUCUCCGGGGGUAGAGCACUGUUUCGGCUAGGGGGCCAUCCCGGCUUACCAACCCGAUGCAAACUGCGAAUACCGGAGAAUGUUAUCACGGGAGACACACGGCGGGUGCUAACGUCCGUCGUGAAGAGGGAAACAACCCAGACCGCCAGCUAAGGUCCCAAAGUCAUGGUUAAGUGGGAAACGAUGUGGGAAGGCCCAGACAGCCAGGAUGUUGGCUUAGAAGCAGCCAUCAUUUAAAGAAAGCGUAAUAGCUCACUGGUCGAGUCGGCCUGCGCGGAAGAUGUAACGGGGCUAAACCAUGCACCGAAGCUGCGGCAGCGAACGUAUCACUUAAAGCGAUUCAGCGGGUUACGAUUGACGGAGCGAAGCGACGUCAAAGCGUAUACAAAGUCGAGUCGGUUUAAGGAUACGUUCGUUGGGUAGGGGAGCGUUCUGUAAGCCUGUGAAGGUGGCCUGUGAGGGUUGCUGGAGGUAUCAGAAGUGCGA